GUGCGUUCCACCAUGCGGUUCACCAUUUAUUUCCCCAGGAUUUCCGGGUCGGCGGUUUUUGAAGGGAAAUAUAAUUCAUUUGAACUUAUAUUUCCCUUCAAAAACCGCCGACCCGGAAAUCCUGGGGAAAUAAAUGGUGAACCGCAUGGUGGAACGCACAG
Pelobates cultripes (western spadefoot toad) is the source of this 161-nucleotide non-coding RNA. The record is from the annotation of a GenBank genome assembly. NCBI's taxonomy places the organism in Eukaryota, Metazoa, Chordata, Amphibia, Anura, Pelobatidae.